RNAcentral lists this long non-coding RNA (226 nucleotides) under Physcomitrium patens. RNAcentral's name for it is "long non-coding RNA (PPAT_LNC008517)". Lineage: Eukaryota; Viridiplantae; Streptophyta; Bryopsida; Funariales; Funariaceae. The record is from RNAcentral.
AUUGAUUUGUGCAGAAAUAGAAAACGGUCUAAGCCUUUAAUAGUCCAACUUGUUACAAAGAUAAGUGGUCUUGAUAUUACGACAAAGUAAUCAUAUCUUGUCACCCAUGUGAAAUGGCGGUUGUUCCUUUUGAAAGACAUCUACAUUGAUAUUUUGUUGUUUUUGAGGUUCUUUUAAAUGUACCUUUAUUGUUGCAUGUAGCUAAGACAAAUGAUUUGCGAAAUCU